UGCCCUCGCAGCGGUGAGGGGUGCCAGUGAAGUUAGUUGAGAAGCAGUGACAGCCUCAAAGAUCCCCAAAUGGCCUGACCUCCGUCUCUGGGCCACAAGGAACCACAGCUGGACCAGACACAGGAGAGAUGCAGAACCCAAGGCUAACAAGGAGAAAGUUGCCCGAGAUAACACUGCCAAAGUGGCUGCCCGGUCCUAUGCAUCCUUCUUCGCCUCCUUCCUGCCUUCCAGCCAGUGAGACCAUGGAAAGGGCACAGAGGAGCCAGCACCCCAGAGGGGUCUCCUGAGGACCAGAGGAAGGCAGGCAACAGGAACCCUGGAAACAGAACUCCUCCCAGGAGCUUCCCGACAGAAGACAGAGGUUCCCCCGGGGCUCGGCAACAUUUCCUGAAGACAAUGGGGAGCAGGAAGGAGGAACGGCUCAUUCGUGGAGCAGCCCCCCAGACCGCCAGGCCAGCACCAGGCACUCCUCCAGGGCGAGGAUGACAUCAAGUUCAGUCCCGUCUCCCCCUUGGCACGCAGAAGACGGACUCGGUGUGCCGGAUGGGCAGGUGAAAUGGUUAGACUGUCUCAAACCCAAAGAAUUGGUCACGGGGGUGAGACAUCGAGCAUAGAGGCUGAAAUGGGGGCCCUGGGCCUGCUGUCCAUAGUGAGGAAUCCCAGCUCAGCUCCUAGCUCCCUGCCCUCAGAGAAGUCUCUUCCCAAGGAGCCUGGGGGAUGCAUGGGGAAAUGGCCCAAUGACAGCAUUCAGUAAAUGACUGUUCUUAGCACCGUCUGCACCCUUAGGAUUUUUCUAGACGUAAAGAAACAACGAGGCAGCCUAUCGCCACAGAGGAACUGGAGGCCAAACCCUCCCCUGGUCAGAGGCUGUGCCUCAAACCCCGGUCCCUGCGUCAGAGGUACUCCCGCAGGAGCGUGGGACUGCCCCGUCCACUUCCUGUUCCUACACCCAGGAGAGCUGCUCUUUUUUCAGUGAGCCCGGUGGGACAAUGGGAUGUGCUGGAAAUAGCCCUUGGCACCCCCACCCCCUUCAGGCUGGACUGUGACCUAGAACCCUCCUCCUCCCCUUCCGGGUCCUCCAUGGGGCAGUGAUAACAUCGCCUCGCCCGCCCCCUCGCCCCCUCGGCUGCUCUGAAGAUUAACUGUGGCCCAGAUUGCCGUCACUCAGGUGCCCUUUUAAAAAAUGUUUACAAUCGUAACAUUUUCAAGUUUAAGGUGCCAUAGUUACUAUCUACAUCUAGUCACUAAGGAUGAAAAACUGUAACACUGACCAGAAUUAGGAGAAGAGAGUCAGAGCACAGACAGGGAGAAUGACCCUGGGUUAUCGUUCUCUCCCCAGUACCCUGGCGUGCAGGCCCUGGGCCUGGGGCUGAUAAGCAGGCCGAGGAGAGUGGCGGACGGAGAGGGCCCGGCCGAGGCUUCCCCUCCGGGGAGGCAGGACUGAGAGUGGAUGGACAGGCUGGAGUCUCUCUGUCUUCCACAGGUAGUUAGUGCCGAGGCCGAAGGCUCUCCCCCGACUGUUCACUCCCUGGGCUGCACCCCCAAGUCAGAGCUGGUUUUGGUAAAGGGCUUUGGGGAAACCUGGGCACCCACUGGGUGCAGGGGCUGGUUUACCUGCUUGGUUCCAGGCAGCAGAUGAUCCCUUUUUUUGGAGCAGCCCUUCCUGACUCCUGACUGAGACCUCCACCUGGGUCAGGCGAGUGUGCCCUCUCGCAGGGCUGAGGGGAGCAUCGAAGAGAGGAGGGACAGGCUGUCCCCAAGGCUGGUCCUGAUGUUGGAAUCCCUCCCCAGACCAGCGCAGUUUGCAGAGUUCCUACAAGAAUUCCAUGUGAGAGGCAGGCAUUUCUUUGGCUGGCCACGCCUCAGGAAGGGGCUGCUUGCUUAGGGGGCCCCCGGGGCUGACCAACCUACCCCAAAUGUCAGAGCAGGGGAGAAGGCUCUCUGGAUCGGGGCCUGAUUUCAGACUUCUGCUAGAAGCAUCGGAGACGCGUUUUAGUAUCAACUGUAUUUUUCCUGCUCACUUCCAGCCCUGAGGAAGGGUUGCCCACCCCCACUUUGCCCUUAGACAUCCCUGAACAUUUAUGUUAUCUGGCAUCAAGGCCACCUCAGUGGGCAUCCAGAAAAGAAGGAGGAUGCUCUCAGGGUGCCCUGAGAUCUUGGGGGACAGGUGGAGUGCAGGGGGCUCUGCCUACUCACUCAGAUGUUCCCACCCAAGCCAGGUCCGUCCGAAGAGGAAAAUGAAUGACCCACAUGCCAGUCAAUCGUCCACCGAGUGGCAUUCAUCCCCUGGGCCCGUCAUCAAGUACGAAGGCAUCAGCAGAGCCCAGGACACCCCUGCAUUAACCAGAGGCGGGUGCUGUCCCCAGGGAACUGGAAGUCCAGCCCAGUCACAGCGAGAUGCAAUGGCCCUGACACCAGAGGGAAGGAGGUUGAGGAACACGAUCCAGCUACCGGCCAGGGCUGUGGGGUCCACACCGUCUGAGCUUGCUCUCCGUGGUGAGUACCGCUGGCAGGGUCCCCUCCUGUGCGGCUGGGCCGCAGCCCAUGAGUGCCAAGUGGUCUGAAAUGAGACGGCCGAGGCAAAGGAUCAGGAAAAGGGCACAGGAAAAGGAUGUUUGAGGACACGAGGUCUGAGAAAGUGAGGGAGCGCGUCCCUGAAGAAGUGGCCAUUGUAGUCGGCACUGAGCCCACGCAGAGCAGAUAGGCAGUGGGGUGGCAUGGCACCUGGGAGCCUGAGGUGGUGGGUGCAGGGUUCCCUGGAGGAGAGGCCCAAGGGAAAGAGGUCCACCGGCCGUGGCUCGAUGGGGCGGGCACCACAGCCUUUGGUGAUGGUUUCAGAAUCUAGCUGGAGGGUAGUGGGAGCUCUCUUGGCAUUUUAGGAGGGGAGAGAUAGGACCAUAUUUGCAUUUUGAGAACUCACUCUGGGUGGAGGGCAGGGAGGGGUGGGUGGGAAGUCUGGGUGUUGGGGGUAGAGGCAGGGAGAGCAGGCAGGGGCCAUGGCAGACGUUGGGUGGUACGAAAUGUCAGUCCAGGGCUGUGCUGUUUGUCUGGGAUACACCGAGCACAAAGGAGGGGCACGGAGUCAACAUAUUGGGAGACUCCAUUUAUUGGAAUGUGGAGAACAGGCAGCUCUAGAGAGACCGAAUGUGGUCUGCCCAGGGCUGGGGCCGGUGGGGGUGGGAGGGGCUGCGUGGUAAGAGGUUUCUUUCUGGAGGGAUGAAAUAUUCCCAAGCUGAUUGUGGCGAUGGUUGUGCAACUUUGUGAUGUACUUACCCCCUUUAUUGUACACUUUAAAGGGGGAGAGGAUCUCAUUGCCAUAAAGCUCUUUAAAAAAUAAACAAAUAAGAGAAAAGUUGAGGUUUGGUCCCAGAGGGCUCAAAUGCCAGGCCAACGAGGGGGGUGGGGGGUACAGUCGCCUGAGGGGCGGAGAGGGUGGAGCAGAGGCCCAUCCCGGCCUCCCUGCCCGGGGCCUCCCUGCCUGGCCAAACCUGUCCCCCAGCCUGAGGUGCAGUGCUGCAUCUCUGGUCAGUUGGGAGUCUGAGAUGAAGCACUGUAGCUCAGGAAGGGAGAAGCUGUUCAGCAGACACCCGCCGGAAUCGGUAAGUGCUGGCGUUGCGGGGGAGGGGAGGGGACCAGGAGGGGCAUGGACACUUCCCAUCUCCAGACUGUCAACGGCUUGUGCUGAGGAAGUCUCUGGACCUAAGACUCACCCAUGCCACCAUCUGCUUCAUGAUUCUGGGCAAGUCCUGGCUGCUCUGUGCCCCACAGUGUGUCCAUUGUAAGAUGAGCGGUUGGAGCAUUUAGUGUGGCCAUUACCCAGCAUCCUGCUUUUUCUGAGCCGUGGCGGACCCCGCUAAUCUGUCAAGGUGUCCAUUCUUGAAGCGCUCAGAUGCAGCUUCAGAAUCCUUCUCAACACUGAAGUCCCAUCAGGGACUCAGAGCUGAAACCCACUCACCAUUUGGGGGUUGGACAAAAUCCUUCCAUCCUAAAGAUAAAGUCCAGAGCUUUGAGCCAGGCUCAACUCUCUUGGAGUUGCUAAGCUUGCUCCAGGCUAUUGACUAAAACCAAUCCAAACAUCUCACAAACACCUGCUGUCUCCUAGAGGCUUCAGACCAGCAAGGAACAGCAGAGGAAAAUCACUGGGCUAAGCACAAUUUUAUUUAACCUCCCAAAAAGCUUGGGAGGUGGGUAAUGUUAUGGGCCCAUUUUACAGAUGAGAAAACUAAGGCUCAGUUAAUUAAUUUUCCCAGGGUCACACCUUGAUAGUAUUGAAGCCAGGGUUGUAGCCUAAUCUGUCUGCUUUCAGAUCUGUAUUGUAACCCAGUGCACAUGACAUUGAAACCUGGGGGUUGGGGCCUGGAGGUGAACAUAGUAAACCCUGCUCUGGUCUUGUCCUUACAUCUUGGGUCACUUUCAGCAAAGAUAGGCCCAGACACUUUCCGUCAAUCUUAUCAAUUCUCUGCUCCUGAGCCUCCACCCCCUAAAUUAUUUUUAUCUCAACUAAUCCAGUAGGUCCUCUACGAUCCCAUUUUACCGUAGAGGAAAGCCGAGGUUAAGUGACUUGCUGGAGGCCACCAUGGAGGAAGUUGCCAGAGGCCAGGGACCAGAUCUGCCCAGUUGGUUUAGAGCAAAACCCUCCCUCUGGCUGGAGACUCAGGAAUGCACACAACUCAUGGUUGUCCUGGGAAGGGGGGCGGCUUGCUGGAUGGAUGCUGGUCAACAACGUGGCCUUUGACCCCAGGGAAAGUACUUUCCAGGCCACUGGGAGUUCCAGUCACUACGCCUCCCGGAGCCACAUCCUGCGAUACGGGGCGGCCCACUCUGCCCUCUGCAGACAGGCUGGAUGCAGAAGACACUCCAGGUGGGGACGUGGCACUCUCACCUUGUCCUCACGGUCCAGUUUUCCCAGGAAUCCCUUAGAUGCUAAGAUGGGGAUUCCUGGAAAUACUGUUCUUGAGGUCAUGGCUUAACAGCUGGAUUCGCCUCCUCCCCAUCCCAGAGUUGCCCCGGGGCCUCGGCUCCAGCACGGCAGGCGGGUCAAGUGGAGGCCUGCGCUGGAGGUAAGAGGGCUUGCAGACUGUGUUCUUGACCUUUAAGUUGCUUUUCUUUCCAUUUGGUCCAUUUCGUAACAUCCCUUUGAGGCUGGAUGUGGGAACUUCACCACUGUGGCACUCUUGGGAAAUUCGUGCCGGCACUCAACUGAGCAGUGGUGGAGCCAGGACACCAUACGGCACCAGUUUCUUCCCGUCUCCACCCACCCUCGCCCCACUUCCCAGCAUGCUGGAUGGUGGGGACACAGUAUCGUAUCCACUUAUUGAGAAACUAAUAAAUGCACAUCGUAUUUGUAAAGUUUAUUAAAUCAGCUAGGUAAACUAAAAACCACGAGUCUUAGAUCACUUUGGAAUGCAGCCAUAGAAAAAGGAAAAUUUUUUCAAGGUAGAGAAGACAAAGCUCAGAGCACCCUCUUGUGGUGAUGCCUGCCUCUGCCCACUCCAGGAAUACUGUGUGCUUGUGCGCGCGAGCGCACGCGAACACACACAACCACUCACACCUGCAGAGACUCUUCCCCACUAACCCGGGACCGCUGUGGCCCCAUCCAUCAUCUCAUUACUAAGGAUGCCUCCAUCAAAAGUGUACUUUUGCUUCCAUACCCUGGCUUCUCCUCGAAGGUCAUGUAACUAGUGAGGCUCAGAGAGGUAAAGUGACCAGCCCAAGGUUGCCCAGAUAACAAAAGGUAGAGCCAGGAAUGGAUUCCAAGUACAGUAGCCUAUGGCAAUUCCUUAGCCAAAAGCAAAAAGUACAGGACAAAAAAAAAAAAAAAAAGACUUUCUAAAUAGACAUAUGAUAUGCUAAUUAAUGACUGAAUGCCAAAGACUGGGAGUGGUCCAGGCACAAACCUAGAACUUUUUGCAAACCCUUCCUGGUGCUUUCCAUGGGGUUGGUAGAGACAGUAGGUUCUACGGCCCCAGAAUCCUCAGUUUGGGGUCUGAUCCCCAUAUUCUCAGAAGCCAGGUGGCUCCCACACGUGUCACAGGCUGUCAUUCUAACGGGCCUCACUGAAGGCAUUUAUGAAGUAUGAGAUUAGAGCUAGCCUGACCAUGAAGAAAUAUGAGUUGGUCCUAAUAAUAAUAAUAAUAAUAACAGUUUCACUCACUGACUACAUACAAUUUCCCAGACACUGUGCUAAACACAUCAUGGGUGUCAUUGCAUUCAAUCCUCAUAACAACCCAGUGAGGUAGGUCCUAUCGUUUCUCCACUUCACAGAUGAGGAAUAAGCCAAGUCUCAGAGAGACACAGAGGCUUGCCUAAAAAUCACACAGCCUGUAAGUCAUGAAACCGGAAUCAAACCAAGUCUGUGUUUAUGCUGUUAACCUGCCUUUGUCCCCUUCCUCCCACUGCCUGGCCCGAGGGGGGGGGGGGGUGCGCUGACCCCGAUGACUUCCUCUGGGGAAGGGGGGGAAACAAGCCUUCCGUGAGACCCGAGUGGUCUCUCCUGUGCUCUGUGACUGUAAUAAAGUGCUGCACCUUGA
This is a long non-coding RNA of Pipistrellus kuhlii (Kuhl's pipistrelle), 6530 nucleotides long. RefSeq lists it as uncharacterized. The record is from RefSeq and is a predicted model, not a curated record. NCBI's taxonomy places the organism in Eukaryota, Metazoa, Chordata, Mammalia, Chiroptera, Vespertilionidae. The transcript is spliced from 5 exons.